Molecule: unclassified non-coding RNA, 346 nt
Filed under: soil metagenome
Description: partial contains 5.8S ribosomal RNA, internal transcribed spacer 2, and large subunit ribosomal RNA
Rfam family: 5.8S ribosomal RNA (bases 1-120)
Source: RNAcentral
GAUGAAGAACGUAGCAAAAUGCGAUAAGUAAUGUGAAUUGCAGAAUUCAGUGAAUCAUCGAAUCUUUGAACGCACAUUGCGCCCGCUGGUAUUCCGGCGGGCAUGCCUGUUCGAGCGUCAUUUCAACCCUCAAACCCCCGGGUUUGGUGUUGGGGAUCGGCUCUGCCUCACGGCGGUGCCGCCCCCGAAAUACAUUGGCGGUCUCGCUGCAGCCUCCAUUGCGUAGUAGCUAACACCUCGCAACUCGAACGCGGCGCGGCCAUGCCGUAAAACCCCAACUUCUGAAUGUUGACCUCGGAUCAGGUAGGAAUACCCGCUGAACUUAAGCAUAUCAAUAAGCGGAGGA